AAUCUUUUUCCAUGUCUUUUUCUAAAAGUACAGGGAUUGCACUCAAAUCUACAAAGGAAGAAGACGACGACUCGGAUUCCAACAGAGAUAUUUCGCUCGCUGAUUUUGAACAUCAACUGACGUUCUUAACGAAGAAAUUUCGACGGAACUUUCGGAAAAACAAAGCUUCGUCCUCGAAACAAAAAUCGUUUUCUAAACAAUCUUCG
RNAcentral lists this long non-coding RNA (206 nucleotides) under Ananas comosus (pineapple). RNAcentral describes it as "long non-coding RNA (ACOM_LNC043949)". The record is from RNAcentral. Lineage: Eukaryota; Viridiplantae; Streptophyta; Magnoliopsida; Poales; Bromeliaceae.